Non-coding RNA from Marasmius oreades (fairy-ring Marasmius), 104 nucleotides. The record is from the annotation of a RefSeq genome assembly. NCBI's taxonomy places the organism in Eukaryota, Fungi, Basidiomycota, Agaricomycetes, Agaricales, Marasmiaceae.
GCCCGCCUAGCUCAAUCGGAUAGAGCGUCAGACUUUUAAGAGCGCUCAAGCGGGCUUUGAAAUAGGAUAUCUGAAGGCUGCGAGUUCGACCCUCGCGGUGGGCU